AACGCACAUUGCGCCCACUGGUAUUCCGGUGGGCAUGCCUGUUCGAGCGUCAUUAUCCUCCCUCAAACCUCGGGUUUGGUGUUGGACCCAAGUUGUGUGAACAACUGGUCUCAAAGACAAUGACGGCGUCCGUGGGACCCUCGGUGCAACGAGCUUUUUAACGAGCACGCGUCGAGUUUCAAGGACCUUCCGGGCCGGUCUCCUUCUUUUAUUUACAAAGGUUGACCUCGGAUCAGGUAGGAAUACCCGCUGAACUUAA
Molecule: unclassified non-coding RNA, 259 nt
Filed under: uncultured Chaetothyriales
Lineage: Eukaryota; Fungi; Ascomycota; Eurotiomycetes; Chaetothyriales
Also listed under: 1 other name
Description: sequence contains ITS2
Rfam family: 5.8S ribosomal RNA (bases 1-52)
Source: RNAcentral